CGGGCCUCGGGGCGGCUGCUGCUGGGGGGCCGGAGCGGCGCUUCUGUGCUGGGCACCGCUGGGCGGGAACAAAAAAUCGCAAAAGCCCGAUGUGAAAGAGCGAGGGAGAAGCCCAGGGCUCCGCGGAAAUCCCCGCUCGUCUUGGGAAGCAGGUAGGAUUACUACUUAUUUUCGCCUUGAGAUGUUUCCUGCACAACUACCAUCCUUUCAUAAACUGUCCUGCAGGCUCUUCCAGGAGAUUUGGAGACAAGUGCUGAAACUGCUCCACCACUCUCGAACUCUGGUAUUUCUGACUGUGUUCUUCUGCUGACUGAGGGUGGUGCUGAAGACUUUAAUAGUGAACUCUUGCUUUUUAAAGAACAGUCAGUCCCAAAUUACCUGGUAUCUUCUCUUCAAUAUAUCCCGUUCUAUAGGACAUCUGAAGUCUUCAUCAGCCCUCACUCCCUUAUCGCAUCGAACAUCAGCACAGAAACAGAAGAAAGCUUUGAUGAUAGCCAAGUUAACGCUAAACAAGAUGAGAACUUGAACAAUUCAGCUCUCUCCACAGGAUAUUUUCCAUAUUACAGAUCGUAUGAAGAGCCACUUGGCAAGCCACUUGCAUAUAACUUAAAUGUGAAUGCAGAGGGAAAACAGCCUGGCACCAACAGGAAAGACAGAAGGCAAGGCAGAUGUGCCCAGGCUGUUAGAAAUGUUGAGAAAACCGUUCCACCAAGUUUGGAGCCAGACAAGAGGGUAGUUUCCUCCAAUGCUGAGCCAUCUGCCCACCCACUGCUACUGGAGAGCAUCUCAGAAAACUGCGCUUCAAAGACCGCCUUUCUCAAUGAACUGCCAAGCCUAGGUCAGCCCUUUUCUUCCACUGGGUACUUUCCCUAUUACAGGACAUGUGGAGACCUCCACACCAGUCCAGCUCCUUGUGAUAGGUUCUUCACCAGGAUAGAAAUUUUGGGGGAUGAAGAGGGAGGAGGAGAGGGAGAAACAAGUGUUUGGAAUUUCAAUACCAGCUGCUCAGCAUGCUGA
This 1017-nucleotide long non-coding RNA is filed under the name Struthio camelus australis. Its description in RNAcentral is "lncRNA (ENSSCUG00000006729.1)". Lineage: Eukaryota; Metazoa; Chordata; Aves; Struthioniformes; Struthionidae. The record is from RNAcentral.